CUUGUACAACCAAAACUUCAAACACAAACAGUAGAAUACGCUUGAACGUUGUUGCUUUAUUACCACCAGAGCUUGGAGCGGGAACGUUGGGCUUGAACGUUGUUGCUUUAUUACCAGAGCUUGGAGCGGGAACGUUGGAGCUUUAUGCCAGCUAGGCUAGCCGUUGGGAGAUUCAUACAAUAACCUUACAUGAAGGAUUCAUACAAUAAUCUUAUAUACAAAGAGCUAAAAUUAGAGGCAAUUGGGGGAUUGAUACAGUCGUAAUCUAUACGGCCAUUGGAAGAUUCAUACAAUAAUCUUUAUGGCCUCAAAGUGAAGGAGAAAGAAGGGGCAAAUAAAACCAGGGCAAGAGAGGGAACUCGCAGUGGGACUGGAAUUUGUGUGUAAUCUUUUUAUUGGAGUGUUGCAUCAUUCCAAAACAUUUAUCAGAAGGUGCUUACAGCUGAUGGAUUGCACCAUCAAACGAUAUCUUUUUUUGAAAGAUUUAGAAACUAAGUCCCAGAUGAAGAUCCAAAUCUGCAAUGAACUUUUUCAUUCGUAGAGGCAUUGUUCCUAUAAAGGGCUUCACAGUGAGCUGGUUGUGAAUAAUCAGGUAUCUUUAUCAGAAGGUGCCUAUAGCUGUUAUAUUGCACCAUCAAAUGAUUUUAUCUCUUUGAAAGAUUUAGAAACUAAGUCCCAGCUGAAGAUCCAAAUAUGCAAUGAGCUUCUUCAUUUGUAGAGGCAUUGUUCCUAUAAAGGGUUUGAGAGUGAGAUGUUCGUGAUUAAUCAGUGACAAUUUGAAAGAAGGUUUGGACAAGUGAGAACUUGAACAGGUGAAUUCAUUGGAGGAUUUGUGCACAACAACGAGAAAUUGAACAUGAAGACUUUAAAGAAGGGAUCACCUUAUAGUAUUAUUUAAUAGUGGAAUGGAAGUAUAAUUUGAUUAUUUAUAUUUAUUGUAAACAUUCCUCAACAAUUAUAAUUAAUAAAGAUAAACCAUUUU
Molecule: long non-coding RNA, 982 nt
Organism: Cryptomeria japonica (Japanese cedar)
Lineage: Eukaryota; Viridiplantae; Streptophyta; Pinopsida; Cupressales; Cupressaceae
Exons: 4
Source: RefSeq, a predicted model, not a curated record